Molecule: long non-coding RNA, 281 nt
Filed under: Elaeis guineensis (African oil palm)
Lineage: Eukaryota; Viridiplantae; Streptophyta; Magnoliopsida; Arecales; Arecaceae
Description: long non-coding RNA (EGUI_LNC041398)
Source: RNAcentral
CCCAUGCCCUCUCUCUCUAGAUGUCCUCUCUCUUAGAUCUUGGAGAGAGGUGGGCGGCAACAUCUUGUUGGUGUCAAGGAUUGGCACCAUAAAGUUGUUGGAGUUCUUCUUCUUCCUCUCAAGUUUGUUAGGAGGUUGUACAACUACUUCUUGAUUAGUUCUUGAUUAGUUGAGAGAUCAAGAAGGAUUCUUGAAUUUUUCAAGAAUCAAGAAAAAAAGAUCAAAUAAGGAUUGGUUCAUUCAAGAAUUAAGAAAAAAAGAUCAAAGGUUAAUCUCUAUCC